UUAGAAAAAGCUUUAAUGAACCUUUUAGUGUGCCGGAAGCUUUUACGUGUUUGUCACGUUCGUGAUCUCUUUACUCAUACCACCAGCCCCAAACCUUUCCGUCGGGUCUAAAGUUCGCCUAGCGACGCAUUUGUUCAAGCCAUCUGCUAGUUGCCUCUCCACGUUAAGUUCAAAUUGCCGACCUAUUCCAGUGGGAUAUAGGAAAAUUUCAGUGUUAAAGGUUGCCCGUGACGUUGUGAGAAACUAUUAUAUGAUAUCUACAAAAAGUCAUAUCCAGAAUUUUUUUAACAUGUGUCAGUCAUGACUUUAAGAGAGUUUAAUAAAGGGGGUGCCAUUAUAAAUGUUACGAUUAGAUGUCAUGAAACUCAGGGAAUAGACGUGAAUAACCCCUACAGUGUAGGCUUGACAUGGUGAGCCCUAUAUAAGUUGAAGACAUGUUUGAGACUUGAAUAAACAGUGUGUGCAGGUUAGUUUUUUGAGUCAACCAAAUCUGAAGACGCUUACAGCAGGAAAGUCAUGGCAGGACCCAAAAUCGAAAUAAUUCUUUUGAUUUCUGUGUUGGUGGCAUAUCAGUCGUCAGGAACCCAUGAAACUGAAGUGCACCAAAGGGAUAUAAAAAAGUUUCUCGACGUGGAUGAGACCAUAUGGACCUACAACAGCACUAGAGGAUCAACUUUAUUCUGCAGAAAGGAUAUCAAGUUGUUUGCCAGAGGAAAUACACUCAUAUUUGAACGUUCACAUUUCAUGAAGAGUAGAGGGCAAUGGUUUGAAAGUUAUCUGGAAGGAAAUUAUUCCAUUUGGCACCGGCGAAAGAAUGAAACUCAGAACUACGAUGAACUUCUGGUUGGUGCAUUAGGU
Molecule: long non-coding RNA, 858 nt
Filed under: Dermacentor andersoni
Lineage: Eukaryota; Metazoa; Arthropoda; Arachnida; Ixodida; Ixodidae
Description: uncharacterized LOC126526852
Source: RNAcentral